Molecule: ribosomal RNA, 300 nt
Filed under: Allolobophora robusta
Lineage: Eukaryota; Metazoa; Annelida; Clitellata; Crassiclitellata; Lumbricidae
Description: partial 12S ribosomal RNA
Rfam family: Bacterial small subunit ribosomal RNA
Source: RNAcentral
CUAGACCAUCAGCUUGUGUACUGCCGUCGUAAGCAUACCUCUAAAAGUACAAGUAUGCAACUAUGACUUAAACUCAUUUACGUCAGGUCAAAGUGCAGCCAAUGAAAAGGUGACGAUGGGUUACACCCUAAACAAAGAUACAAAUUAGAGUACUAAAAGCCCUUUGAAGGUGGACUUGGAUGUAAUAUUAAUACAAAAUUAUAAUGAAAAUGAAUCUAAGACAUGCACACAUCGCCCGUCACUCUCGCCCAAAGGCGAGAUAAGUCGUAACAAAGUAGGUGUAACGGAAGUUGCACCUGU